Molecule: ribosomal RNA, 276 nt
Filed under: uncultured bacterium
Lineage: Bacteria
Description: partial 16S ribosomal RNA
Rfam family: Bacterial small subunit ribosomal RNA
Source: RNAcentral
ACUCCUACGGGAGGCAGCAGUGGGGAAUAUUGGACAAUGGGGGAACCCGUGAUCCAGCCAUGCCGCGUGUGUGAAGAAGGCCUUCGGGUUGUAAAGCACUUUCAGUGGGGAGGAAAGGGUGUGUGCUAAUACCAUACAUCUGUGACGUUACUCGCAGAAGAAGCACCGGCUAACUCCGUGCCAGCAGCCGCGGUAAUACGGAGGGUGCGAGCGUUAAUCGGAAUUACUGGGCGUAAAGCGUGCGCAGGCGGUUUGUUAAGCGAGAUGUGAAAGCCC